UACGGAGGGUGCAAGCGUUGUCCGGAUUUAUUGGGUUUAAAGGGUGCGUAGGCGGCUAAUUAAGUCAGCGGUGAAAUUCCACAGCUCAACUGUGGAACUGCCAUUGAUACUGGUUGGCUUGAGUACAGAUGAGGUAGGCGGAAUUGACAGUGUAGCGGUGAAAUGCUUAGAUAUUGUCAAGAACACCUAUUACGAAGGCAGCUUACUAAACUGUAACUGACGCUGAGGCACGAAAGCGUGGGGAUCAAACAGG
Molecule: ribosomal RNA, 253 nt
Filed under: uncultured bacterium
Lineage: Bacteria
Description: partial 16S ribosomal RNA
Rfam family: Bacterial small subunit ribosomal RNA
Source: RNAcentral